RNAcentral lists this ribosomal RNA (254 nucleotides) under uncultured bacterium. RNAcentral's name for it is "partial 16S ribosomal RNA". It matches the Rfam family "Bacterial small subunit ribosomal RNA", at positions 524 to 776 of the family's 1533-position model. The record is from RNAcentral.
UACGGGGGGAGCAAGCGUUGUUCGGAUUUACUGGGCGUAAAGGGCGCGUAGGCGGCCACCGCAAGUCGACUGUGAAAUCUCCGGGCUUAACCCGGAAAGGUCAGCCGAUACUGCGGGGCUAGAGUGCAGAAGGGGCAACUGGAAUUCUCGGUGUAGCGGUGAAAUGCGUAGAUAUCGUUUGGAACGCCAAUGGUGAAAACAAGUAGCUGGGGAUGUGCCGACGCUGAGACACGAAAGCCAGGGGAGCGAACGGG